GCCGUUCUAGCUCAGUUGGUAGAGCGCGUGGCUUUUAACCACGUGGUCGUGGGUUCGAGUCCCACGGAUGGCGUUUUGUUAUAUGUUUUUUUUUUGUAUGUUUUCUGUUUUUGUAAUAGACAUUUAAAUAUCAUCAGAAAAGUGUUUUACAUAUACCAUUUUCGUAAAAUAUGAGCCGUUCUAGCUCAGUUGGUAGAGCGCGUGGCUUUUAACCACGUGGUCGUGGGUUCGAGUCCCACGGAUGGCG
This 247-nucleotide transfer RNA is filed under the name Helianthus annuus (common sunflower). The stretch from base 1 to 73 matches the Rfam family "tRNA". Lineage: Eukaryota; Viridiplantae; Streptophyta; Magnoliopsida; Asterales; Asteraceae. The record is from RNAcentral.